RNAcentral lists this ribosomal RNA (446 nucleotides) under uncultured bacterium. RNAcentral's name for it is "SSU rRNA". It matches the Rfam family "Bacterial small subunit ribosomal RNA", at positions 26 to 518 of the family's 1533-position model. The record is from RNAcentral.
AGAACGAACGCUGGCGGCAGGCCUAACACAUGCAAGUCGAACGCGACCUUCGGGUCGAGUGGCGCACGGGUGAGUAACGCGUGGGAAUCUGCCCUGUGGUACGGAAUAACAUCGGGAAACUGGUGCUAAUACCGUAUAUCCCCUGAGGGGGAAAGAUUUAUCGCCAUAGGAGGAGCCCGCGUAGGAUUAGCUAGUUGGUGAGGUAACGGCUCACCAAGGCGACGAUCCUUAGCUGGUCUGAGAGGAUGAUCAGCCACACUGGGACUGAGACACGGCCCAGACUCCUACGGGAGGCAGCAGUGGGGAAUAUUGGACAAUGGGGGAAACCCUGAUCCAGCCAUGCCGCGUGUGUGAUGAAGGCCUUCGGGUUGUAAAGCACUUUCGCACGUGACGAUGAUGACGGUAACGUGAGAAGAAGCCCCGGCUAACUUCGUGCCAGCAGCCGC